This is a long non-coding RNA of Gasterosteus aculeatus aculeatus (three-spined stickleback), 862 nucleotides long. The record is from Ensembl. Lineage: Eukaryota; Metazoa; Chordata; Actinopteri; Perciformes; Gasterosteidae.
UGACUUUGGCAACACAGAGUGGCACGAUGUGGGACACAUUUUGAGGACAAGGAGCCUCCCGGCAACAGUUGAAUUGGUUGCACACCGGGUUGCUCCAAAUGUAGCCGGUACUGCAGCUGCAGGUGGAUUCAUUUCGAAUAAGCAGGCACUCUAGAAUGAGAAGCACAGUCGACUCAAACGACCCAGAGAACUUACUUUUGAAGUAUUUCUCUUCAACACUGAAUAAAUAUGAGAGAGAACAUGAAAAUACUCAAAGGAUUUGAUUAGUGGGAUUGAUUACACAUGAUGAUGAUUUCUUUCUGAAAAUCCCUCAAAUAUGGCAGCCCGAUUUAAAACUAUUAUGAAGAGCGAGGAAGUAAAGGAAGAGGUCAGGAAGAAAAGUGAUCAAAUCUCAAAGAAUGAAAUAGUCUUGAAACUACAGACUGAGACCAUAAACUCAUGUUUACAAAGUUCACCAGGAAUAAAUCAGGAGAGAAGUAAUUAGAGAGUAAUUAUCUCAUAGAGGAAAAGUCGCCCCCUGUUGGUCACUACAGAGAAUGCACUGGCAUUCUUUGAAGGAGGAGGAAUAACCAAUGACAGGAUUAGGGUUCAAGGACCAAUGGCAGGAUUAGGGUUGAAGGACCAAUGACAGGAUUAGGGUUAAAGGACCAAUGACAGGAUUAGGGUUGAAGGACCAAUGACAGGAUUAGGAUUAAAGGAGCUCCAGCGUGAUACCUGCAACCAGUUCAUUGUGGGAGAGGAUCACUGUGGUCAAGUCAGACAGUUUGAUGUCAUGUGUUGAAUUCAAAAUGGAAAGGAUCUGGUCGGCCUCCAUAGUAACAUUACUCUCCACCAUCAGCUCGGCAAUGUAGAGAUCUUCGAC